Leptopilina heterotoma is the source of this 1565-nucleotide RNA transcript. It is a transcript of the gene named dolichyldiphosphatase 1-like, with no coding region annotated. Lineage: Eukaryota; Metazoa; Arthropoda; Insecta; Hymenoptera; Figitidae. The transcript is spliced from 7 exons. The record is from RefSeq and is a predicted model, not a curated record.
UUUGAUGGAGGGGGAGAGCCUGAUUCACUUAUAUAAAUUUGUUGUGACAGUCUAUUUCCGUCUUACUUUCGUGUUCAAAAUAGAAGAUGUUUUCCUAAAAUUUAUAAAUUGUCUUCAGAUUCAAUCAAUGUAAAAGAAAACAAACAAUUAAUGCAAAAUAAAUGCGAAAAACGUCGUCUUCGUUAUCAUAAGUCUGUGUUGAAUUUGUACAUAAUUUUUAAACAUUAUUAGUUAGACAAGUGUUCCCGCAAAAAUAAAUAUUUUAUUUAAAUCUCUUAUUUCUAUAUGUGAGCAAUUUAAAUAAAAAAAGGAGCGAAAACAGUUCAUUCAUGUCACCGCACACGCGGCAUCGGUGAUAUUAUAAAAUGGCAACACCAGAAAACGAAUCUUUUUUGGAUAUAAAAUCCAAAUUGGGAGUUUCAAACGACAAUUUAGACUGGAUUCCACUUUCAUUGACACUUGUCGAGUAUCCGCAAGGUGAUGGAUUUGGAAAAUUUUUAGCUCUUAUUAGUUUAAUGCCCUUUGCCGUAUUGACUGGUUUUAUCACUUUGAUAAUUUUUAGACGAGAUCUACAUACUAUUGUAUUUUUUAUUGGAAUGGUAAUAAAUGAAGUUGUUAAUUUUUUGUUAAAACAUACUAUUUGCGAAGCUAGACCUAUGAGACGUGAAGUUCUGUACUCCGAAUAUGGAAUGCCAUCGUCUCAUUCCCAAUUUAUAUGGUUUUUCACAGCAUACAUGGUCCUUUUUGUAUUAGUCAGAUUGCACCAUAACAAUAAUAGUACAAUCUCACAAAAAUUUUGGCGUAUGCUGACAAUAGUUCUUUGUAUUACUGUAGCUGUAUUUGUAGCGUACAGUAGAAUUUAUCUACAAUAUCAUUCGAAAGCUCAAGUGCUAUGUGGAAUGAUUCUGGGAAGUGCAUUGGGAAUCAUUUGGUUUUUAGUCACACAUUUAGUGCUGACUCCUUUCUUUCCUGUCAUUGUUUCAUGGAGAGCCUCUGAGUAUCUCCUAUUAAGAGACACAUCUCUUAUUCCAAACGUUUUAUGGUUUGAAUAUACAAAUAUUCGCACAGAAACAAGAGCUCGUUCUCGCAAACUCGUUUCAAUGAAGUCUCAAUGACGCCUAUUGGUCAACCAAUGGGCAGAAAGCAAAUAAAGAGAAUACUUUGUUAUCUAUUUACAGAAACGUCACAAUACUUAUUAUUAUUAAUAUUACGUGGAUCUAAAAGCUCAGUUGUCAAUCUGAAUGAUCUGAAAACGAGAUGUAAAUAAAAGUAGCAAAAGUGAAAAUUGACAAGUUGAAGGAAUUUUUAUUUUUUAGAAUUCUUUUUGAAAUAUAAAUAUAAAAUUGCAUUUAUUUGAAGGCAAUAAUAGGAAAAAACGUUUAUCGUAAGUCAGUACCAUAAAUGGACUGGUCAUGUCGAUCAGAAGAGACAAUAGGCAAUGAUCGACAUUUCAUUUCCUUUUUAAUAAAUAAAAUAAGUUUUUUACUUCAAUUUUUUUAAACAUUUCUUUAGAUACUGUACUGUAGUGAAUUUUUCAGAGUAAAAAUAUGGUGAUUUAUAAGCUA